GCGGCAGUAGCUCAGUUGGUUAGAGCGUCGGAUUGUGAUUCCGGAUGUCGGGGGUUCAAGUCCCCUCUGCCGCC
RNAcentral lists this transfer RNA (74 nucleotides) under Phycisphaerae bacterium. Its description in RNAcentral is "tRNA-His". It matches the Rfam family "tRNA". Rfam says of the family: Transfer RNA (tRNA) molecules are approximately 80 nucleotides in length. Their secondary structure includes four short double-helical elements and three loops (D, anti-codon, and T loops). The record is from RNAcentral. Lineage: Bacteria; Pseudomonadati; Planctomycetota; Phycisphaerae.